ACGGGUGAGUAAUACAUCGGAACGUGCCCAAUCGUGGGGGAUAACGCAGCGAAAGCUGUGCUAAUACCGCAUACGAUCUACGGAUGAAAGCAGGGGAUCGCAAGACCUUGCGCGAAUGGAGCGGCCGAUGGCAGAUUAGGUAGUUGGUGAGGUAAAGGCUCACCAAGCCUUCGAUCUGUAGCUGGUCUGAGAGGACGACCAGCCACACUGGGACUGAGACACGGCCCAGACUCCUACGGGAGGCAGCAGUGGGGAAUUUUGGACAAUGGGCGAAAGCCUGAUCCAGCCAUGCCGCGUGCAGGAUGAAGGCCUUCGGGUUGUAAACUGCUUUUGUACGGAACGAAACGGCCUUUUCUAAUAAAGAGGGCUAAUGACGGUACCGUAAGAAUAAGCACCGGCUAACUACGUGCCAGCAGCCGCGGUAAUACGUAGGGUGCAAGCGUUAAUCGGAAUUACUGGGCGUAAAGCGUGCGCAGGCGGUUAUGUAAGACAGUUGUGAAAUCCCCGGGCUCAACCUGGGAACUGCAUCUGUGACUGCAUAGCUAGAGUACGGUAGAGGGGGAUGGAAUUCCGCGUGUAGCAGUG
This 585-nucleotide ribosomal RNA is filed under the name Variovorax sp. BvORHM030. RNAcentral's name for it is "bacterial SSU rRNA". It matches the Rfam family "Bacterial small subunit ribosomal RNA", at positions 102 to 683 of the family's 1533-position model. RNAcentral also lists the same sequence under 14 other names. Lineage: Bacteria; Pseudomonadati; Pseudomonadota; Betaproteobacteria; Burkholderiales; Comamonadaceae. The record is from RNAcentral.